GUGAUUGUAUCAUACUUGUAUUUUAUCAUUUCACUAACCAACAUAUCAAAAAUAUUUCUUUGUAUUUACCUAACGUUUUUGUAGGAAGGGCGUGAUCCCAUUGAUUCAUCAAGUUCACAUCUAGGGUUUGAGACCCUCAUGAACAAAGAGCACAGCCAUGGAUUGAUUCAAGAAUGGUUACAAGCAUAAUAUAUGAGUCCCAAUGU
Molecule: long non-coding RNA, 206 nt
Filed under: Lathyrus oleraceus (garden pea)
Lineage: Eukaryota; Viridiplantae; Streptophyta; Magnoliopsida; Fabales; Fabaceae
Description: Pisum sativum (pea) long non-coding RNA (PSAT_LNC042066)
Source: RNAcentral